GGGCCCCACUCCUACGGGAGGCAGCAGUGGGGAAUUUUGGACAAUGGGCGAAAGCCUGAUCCAGCAACGCAGCGUGAAGGACGACGGUUCUCGGAUUGUAAACUUCUUUUGCAGGGGAAGAAAAAAAUGACGGUACCCUGUGAAUAAGCCACGGCUAACUACGUGCCAGCAGCCGCGGUAAGACGUAGGUGGCAAGCGUUACUCGGAAUUACUAGGCGUAAAGCGUUCGUAGGCGGAAGUUUAAGUCUGCUGUGCAAUCUUCGGGCUCAACCCGGAAACUGCAGCAGAAACUGGAUUUCUUGAGUGAGGCAGAGGAAGAUGGAAUUCCUGGUGUAGCAGUGAAAUGCGUAGAUAUCAGGAGGAACACCGGUGGCGAAGGCGGUCUUCUGGGCCUUUACUGACGCUAAAGAACGAAAGCUAGGGGAGCAAACGGAAUUAGAUACCCCGGUAGUCCUAGCCGUAAACGAUGAUAACUAGGUGUGGGAGGUAUCGACCCCUUCCGUGCCGCCGCUAACGCAUUAAGUUAUCCGCCUGGGGAGUACGGCCGCAAGGUUAAAACUCAAAGGAAUUGACGGGGGCCCGCACAAGCGGUGGAUUAUGUGAUUUAAUUCGACGCUACGCGAAGAACC
This 629-nucleotide ribosomal RNA is filed under the name uncultured Termite group 1 bacterium. Its description in RNAcentral is "bacterial SSU rRNA". It matches the Rfam family "Bacterial small subunit ribosomal RNA", at positions 328 to 970 of the family's 1533-position model. The record is from RNAcentral. Lineage: Bacteria; Pseudomonadati; Elusimicrobiota.